AUGAAGGACCGCCGUGGCUUCCCCUUCUCCAUCGGCUGCAUGUCGCAGUCCGCCGUCGCCGUCGCCGACCCGCUCGACAAGAAGGCCUCGGUGCCGGCGCUGCAGCAGCAGCAGGCCGGCAACCCCUCCUCCUCCUCCACCACCACACAAGGUUGUAGCACCCAGCCAGAGAAGCCCAAAGUGGAGACGGAGGCCGACGGAGUGCCCCAAGUGUGGGCUGAGGCUGUGAAGACCGACCCGGCCGACGUCAUCCCUCUGCCAUAUGUUGUUCCUUUCUGA
Molecule: ribosomal RNA, 279 nt
Filed under: Triticum aestivum (bread wheat)
Lineage: Eukaryota; Viridiplantae; Streptophyta; Magnoliopsida; Poales; Poaceae
Description: partial small subunit ribosomal RNA
Source: RNAcentral